RNAcentral lists this transfer RNA (73 nucleotides) under Rhodocytophaga rosea. It matches the Rfam family "tRNA". Rfam says of the family: Transfer RNA (tRNA) molecules are approximately 80 nucleotides in length. Their secondary structure includes four short double-helical elements and three loops (D, anti-codon, and T loops). Further hydrogen bonds mediate the characteristic L-shaped molecular structure. tRNAs have two regions of fundamental functional importance: the anti-codon, which is responsible for specific mRNA codon recognition, and the 3' end, to which the tRNAs corresponding amino acid is attached (by aminoacyl-tRNA synthetases). tRNAs cope with the degeneracy of the genetic code in two manners: having more than one tRNA (with a specific anti-codon) for a particular amino acid; and 'wobble' base-pairing, i.e. permitting non-standard base-pairing at the 3rd anti-codon position. The record is from Rfam by way of RNAcentral. Lineage: Bacteria; Pseudomonadati; Bacteroidota; Cytophagia; Cytophagales; Rhodocytophagaceae.
AGUGGGGUAGCUCAAUGGCAGAGCAUCCGGCUCUUAACCCGGAUGGACACAGGUUCGAGCCCUGUCCUCACUU